UGGGGAAUAUUGCACAAUGGGCGCAAGCCUGAUGCAGCCAUGCCGCGUGUAUGAAGAAGGCCUUCGGGUUGUAAAGUACUUUCAGCGAGGAGGAAGGCGUUGAUGGGUUAAAUAAACCCUGGCAUGCGAUUGACUGUUACUCGCAGAAGAAGCACCGGCUAACUCCGUGCCAGCAGCCGCGGUAAUACGGAGGGUGCAAGCGUUAAUCGGAAUUACUGGGCGUAAAGCGCACGCAGGCGGUCUGUCAAGUCGGAUGUGAAAAUCCCCCGGGCUCAACCUGGGAACUGCAUCCGAAACUGGCAGGCUAGAGUCUUGUAGA
This 319-nucleotide ribosomal RNA is filed under the name uncultured Enterobacteriaceae bacterium. Its description in RNAcentral is "bacterial SSU rRNA". It matches the Rfam family "Bacterial small subunit ribosomal RNA", at positions 355 to 655 of the family's 1533-position model. Lineage: Bacteria; Pseudomonadati; Pseudomonadota; Gammaproteobacteria; Enterobacterales; Enterobacteriaceae. The record is from RNAcentral.